This 1234-nucleotide long non-coding RNA is filed under the name Sus scrofa (pig). RNAcentral describes it as "lncRNA (ENSSSCG00005005050.1)". Lineage: Eukaryota; Metazoa; Chordata; Mammalia; Artiodactyla; Suidae. The record is from RNAcentral.
GGGAAGGCUAGAAGAAAUCCCCAGGGCCCUUCAAGUUCACUGCCCAGGAAAGAAGCCACUGAUUCCUUUCUGCGUGUCAGAACGAACCAACACUGUCUCUCACUCUGUCCUUCAUUAUGACUCAGCCAAGAAAACAGAUUCAAAUAUCUCAUCUGUGGUGCUGCCUUGACUUUAGUUCCUGGCCCCUGCACUUGAACCUGAGACUUUCUCCAGCUGUCACAAUUUGACUGCCAUAGCCGUUCACUUCACUCUAAGCAAACAAGACUUCAGCUGUAUUGAUUACUGGCAAACAGGCAUGUACUCAAGUUGAAAAAGGGAAUUCAAGGGAAGGGUUUUAGAUAAGUAAAGGGAAAACUUGAACUCUCUAUACUUCGAAUAUAAGGAGGUUGAAAAACCAGAAGAUCACUGAAGCCAGGCAGGGAGCUAUAGGUGAGAAACCAUAGCAAGAUCAUUUUUCUCCUGGGCUUCAUAGGGCAUUGGUUCAGGAAGCUAUAAAGAAAACUAAUUUUAUAAUGAACAAAUUCUGCCUUUAUGUGUUAGAGAUGUUCAUUUCUUAUAGUAACCAUCUUUCUCUUAAGUCUCUUGUUUAGCCUACUCACCUGCACCAAAAAACAUCAGAGGAAGAGAGGUUUUAUUCAAGCAAAUCCAACACUGUCAGUAANNNNNNNNNNNNNNNNNNNNNNNNNNNNNNNNNNNNNNNNNNNNNNNNNNNNNNNAGGAAUCUCAAGAAAUGUCGAAGGAAAGUGAGACACAAAGAGAUAGAGUUGCUUUCAUUUGGUUAUUAGUUCUCCUGAUUCAGAAGUUCCCAUUUCAGUAUGAAUUUUGGAGUUCCAGAGUUUUAUUUUAUUGACAAACAUGGCUUUUAUGUGGUGUCUUCCCUUGUAAAUUCUGCAUACUGUUGCGUUCUUUCACAACUGAGACAGUCCACUUUGCCACUGGAUAAAGGGAAAUUUGUCACUGUAGUAAUAUCAAGAGCACCUAGUAGCCAGAAGAGGAAGUAUAGACUAUGAUUCAUUAAUACGUAUUUUGUGCAACAGCUUGAGAGUCAAUUCUUUAUCAAAAUACACCUUGUCUCAAUUUAUUUUUAUCUCAAGCUUUCCACAUUGUGUUGUUUGGAAUAUAUUUAAUGUCAAAGAUCUCCAAGUUCACACCUACACAAACUCUGCCGCCUACAGGUGAUUUAUUAAACUACAGCUUUAAAGUAAUAUUCACAAAAUAAAAAAGGAAAAGUGUU